GAUGAACGCUAGCGGCAGGCCUAACACAUGCAAGUCGAGGGGCAUCAUGGCGUAGCAAUACGCUGAUGGCGACCGGCGCACGGGUGCGUAACGCGUAUGGAACCUACCCACCGCAGGGGGAUAACCCGCCGAAAGGCGGACUAAUACCCCAUGGUUCCCCGACCCUGCCUGGGGUUGGGGGUAAAGCCUACGGGCGGCGGUGGAUGGCCCUGCGUGCCAUUAGCUGGCUGGUGGGGUAACGGCCCACCAGGGCGACGAUGGCUAGGGGGUCUGAGAGGACGAUCCCCCACACUGGUACUGAGACACGGACCAGACUCCUACGGGAGGCAGCAGUGAGGAAUAUUGGACAAUGGGUGCAAGCCUGAUCCAGCCAUCCCGCGUGAAGGACGACGGCCCUAUGGGUUGUAAACUUCUUUUGUACAGGGAUAAACCUCCCCUCGUGAGGGGAGCUGAAGGUACUGUACGAAUAAGCACCGGCUAACUCCGUG
This 488-nucleotide ribosomal RNA is filed under the name uncultured bacterium. Its description in RNAcentral is "bacterial SSU rRNA". It matches the Rfam family "Bacterial small subunit ribosomal RNA", at positions 28 to 507 of the family's 1533-position model. The record is from RNAcentral.